This 468-nucleotide ribosomal RNA is filed under the name uncultured bacterium. Its description in RNAcentral is "partial 16S ribosomal RNA". It matches the Rfam family "Bacterial small subunit ribosomal RNA", at positions 28 to 507 of the family's 1533-position model. The record is from RNAcentral.
GACGAACGCUGGCGGCGUGCUUAACACAUGCAAGUCGAACGGAAAGGCCCUGCUUUUGUGGGGUGCUCGAGUGGCGAACGGGUGAGUAACACGUGAGUAACCUGUCCUUGACUUUGGGAUAACUUCAGGAAACUGGGGCUAAUACCGGAUAGGAGCUCUUGCAGCAUGGUGGGGGUGGGAUAGUUUCGGCGGUUGGGGAUGGACUCGCGGCUUAUCGGCUUGUUGGUGGGGUGGUGGCUUACCAAGGCUUUGACGGGUAGCCGGGCUGCGCGGGUGACCGGCCACGUUGGGACUGAGAUGCGACACAGACUCCUACGGUAGGCAGGAGUGGGGAGUAUUGCACAAUGGGCGGAAGCCUGAUGCAGCAUAGCCGCGUGCUGGAUGACGGCCUUCGGGUUGUAAAGCGCUUUCGCCUGUGACGAAGCGUGAGUGACGGUAAUGGGUGAAGAAGCACCGGCUAACUACGUG